UCUCCGUAGGUGAACCUGCGGAGGGAUCAUUACAGAGUUCAUGCCCUACCGGGUAGAUCUCCCACCCUAGGUUAUUAUUACUUUCUUGCUUAGGCGGGCCGUUAGGCUCUUGCCCGACUACCGGCCCCGGCUGGUAAGCGUCCGCCAGGGGACCCAAAACCCUGAAUAUCAGUGUCGUCUGAGUACUAUAUAAUAGUCAAAACUUUCAACAACGGAUCUCUUGGUUCUG
RNAcentral lists this unclassified non-coding RNA (229 nucleotides) under plant metagenome. RNAcentral describes it as "partial contains small subunit ribosomal RNA, internal transcribed spacer 1, and 5.8S ribosomal RNA". The record is from RNAcentral.